Molecule: long non-coding RNA, 3222 nt
Filed under: Macaca fascicularis (crab-eating macaque)
Lineage: Eukaryota; Metazoa; Chordata; Mammalia; Primates; Cercopithecidae
Description: lncRNA (ENSMFAG00000047037.2)
Source: RNAcentral
AGCAGUUUAGGUAGGGGGUCAGAAGCUUGCAGCCUCCAGCUGCAGGACUCCUCAACCACAAUAUGUAAUUUGGUGGCUAAUGUUAGUCCUACAAAGGCAGUCUAGUUUCCAGGCAAGAAGGAGGUCUGCUUUGGGAAAGGGCUGUUACCGUCCAAACGCUAUUUUAUAAUGACAUGUCUGUCUGCCCUUCCUAUUGGCUUCUGCAUCUCUCCUCUUGUGUUCAGCACCUGGAUUGUGCUCAGGAUGGCAAGAGAACAAAGCAAUCUGCUUGCUGUACUUGGGAUAGAGAAGACCUGCACGAGAAAGCCAGAUAUUCAAGAUGGUGUGAUUUCUAUCACAAGCUCUGAAGCCAACCACCAACAACUACCUAUACUUUAAGGAUGAACAAAUAGAGAAAAAUCAACAGACAUAUGAAAAACCAUCAGUCCUUCAUCAGAAAGAGAUUUAAAGAAUCAGAGCAAAAAUCUCCCGAUGAAGCCAACUUACUACACAGAACUAGAGCAUACAAUACUGUGCAGAUAUAGCAAAUGCAUGCUACAGAAGAAACAUAGACAUGGACACCGGAAUGCAGAGGAAGUUAACAGUGGUGUAGAGAUAUUUACCAUGAAUUUAAGAAGAGUCAUGAUGAACUUAUUUAGGAGAUGGAAUAUAAUGGGAACUCCGCAGGAGGAGAGAGAGAGAGAUGAUGCAGAAGAAACAAUAAACCAAAAAAUUACAAAGUUUCCCCAAGCUCAAGAGAGACUUCAAUCUCCAUAUCAGUUCUAUAACUGGACAAGAUUAAUUAAAAUGAUCCAUAUUUAGAUAAUAUUGUUGAAGUAUCUGUAUCCAGGCAGAAAAUUCUUGUGGCUGCCAAUCAUAUGUUUCCUAGGAAGUUUUCAAUACUAUAAUAGAAGACAAUGAAUCAGCUAGAGUUUUGCAGCAAAAAUCAUUGUAACCCAAGUACUGUACAUCCUGCUAAAGAUCAUUCAUGUGCAAGAGCAGUAGAAAGACAUUCUCGGGCAUAAAAGAAAUCAGAGAGCAAAUUACCAAUGUGCUGUUCUUGAAAAUAUAAAUCAAUAAAGUAUUUGUUACCAACUAAGGAAUGCAUUGACAUGAACUUAUGAAUGAGAAAGAUGGAAAAAAAAUGGCAGAGAGAAACUAAGCCAGUAAAAACACAGAGGUAAAGCUGAAUGAUUAUUGUUAUGACUAUAGAGUUAUUGAAAAAAUAAAAAUAUAAUGGGAGAAAUAGUAAAUAACAUUUAAAAAAAUCCCAGAUUAUUCCCAUAAAAGCUAGGAGAUGGAGUAGUAUGAGAAAGCGUAUUCAUUGUUCACAGAAAUCCAUUCUGCCCUCCUGCCACAGAAAUAGAAUUGAGGCUGAGUUAGUUAGACAAUGGUUUUUGUUCAGUUAGACUCACCUAGUGCUUGCUGAUAAUAAUGGCCAUGUGACUAUCUUCUUAUAAAUGGUAAUCUAGUUAGACUACUGUAUACUUAGUGCUCACCAAUAUAUGUGGCUAUAUGAGCACUUCUUAUAAAUAAAAUGAGAGCAGGAGUGAUGAUUUCCACUUCUAGGUCUCACUGAACCUUAAAGAUGAGAUGAUGACAGUGCCCAAGUGGAUGGGGGAUGAUGUCUUGGGAGGAACUUGGGUCGCUGAUUACAUAAGGAGCUGUUCUGCUGAUCCCGACCAUUCACAUAUGGACUGUUAAGUGAGUGAGAAGUGAACUUCUUUCUUAAGUCACUGUAUCAUUGGAACUUUUUGCUACAGUAGAGUAGCUUUAUUCUGACCUAUGUAGGUAGUGUAAGAGGAAGAAAAAUUGUGCUUAAAGCAAUACGUGGGAUUAUCCUUGUGGAGAAAAAAUACAAUCUAAACAUAUAAUAUUUUUAUGACAAUUAGAUGAUCUUAUACAUAUUGUUUUGAACUUGAUUUUUACAUGAAAUAAUAUAUUUUGGUCAUUCUUCAUGCCAAUAUAUAAAGAGUUACAUAUUAUUUGUAACUUUCAAAUAGUAUUCUAUAGUAUGAUGGCUCUAUAAUAUAUUGAAUUAUUUAUUCUAUGUGGGAAUUACACUUUUUUCUUAAUAUUGGGCUAUUAUAAAUAAUUCUAUAGUGAACUGUUAUAUGCACAUGUGCAAGAAUUUCUAUAGAUUAGAUUAUUCGAGGUGUGGAAUUUCUGGUGUAAAGGCAUGCAUAUAGGGGUUGCAAAAUUGAGCUCUGGAGAUCAGGGGGUCAGAGGUAAGUGUUCUAGGUGGUUCUCUUGGCAGCCUCCUCCCCUGCUGGUAUUUAUGGUUGGCUGGAGUCUGCAGCUGGUAUAAUUCAUGAUUUUCCCCUCUUGGCUUGGUUGGGGCCCAGAGGAGCUCCUGGCUAACUCAGCCCUACUUCAAAUUCCAUUGGCUAAAAGCUCCUAUAUGAAUGCGGUAGGAGUCUACUAAAAUUUCUCAGGGUCACCUUUUCUUGCUUUGGUAGCCUCCAUGGCAAGUGUGGUGACUAUUAACCUAGUGUCUAUACCACCUGACUUAAAAGUGAUUUGAAACCGGGUGCGGUGGCUCACGCCUGCAAUUUCAGCACUUUGAGAGGCCGAGGCAGGCAUCUCACCUUAAGUCAGGAAUUCGAGACCAGCCUGGCCAACAUGGUGAAACCCCGUCUCUACUAAAAAUACAAAAAUUAGCCAAGCGUGGUGGUGGGCACCUGUAAUCCCAGCUACUCGGGAGGCUGAGGCAUGAGAGAAUCACUUGAACCUGGAGGUGGAGGUUGCAGUGAGUUGAGAUCGCGCCACUGCACUCCACUCUGGGUGACAGAGUGACUCUGUCUCAAAAAAAAAAAAAAAAAAAGAAAAGAAAAGAAAAGAAAAAAGUGGUUUGAGAAGGUUAAGCUUCCUUCUAGAUAAUGCUGCACUCUCACAUUGCUGUGGUAACACCCUGGGUAGGGUUAGAAAGCAGCCUGAGAUGUUUCCAGUUUUCUCAAUAGGCAUGGGGCAAUAACUCCCCUUUUGGCUUCAUUAUUACUACAGAUGACAUAAUGGAUCUUCCCCUCCCUGAACUAGAGCCCUGAAAUGGCAAAUCUGGUCCCUCAUCUAAGUAUUAUUCUUUUUAUUUUUCAACCCUCCCUUUUUCCACUCUCUCUGUCUCUCUCUCUCUUACUUAAAAGUUCUUCUUGGGAGAGGGCAAGUUUCUUUCAUUUUCCAUGUAUGAUAUCGUCCAUCUUUCUGACUCAUGCUUAGCCUUACCAGUGGUGAAAUAGAUCUCCUCUA